AGUGAACGCUGGCGGCGUGCUUAACACAUGCAAGUCGAACGAGAACGGGCUAUAGCUUGCUAUAGUUGUCAGCUAAGUGGCGCACGGGUGAGUAAUGUAUAGGUAAUAUGCCUCUUACUAAGGGAUAACAAAUGGAAACGUUUGCUAAUACCUUAUACUCCUUAUUAACAGAAGUUAAUAAGGGAAAGAUUUAUUGGUAAGAGAUUAGCCUGUAUUGUAUCAGUUAGUUGGUGGGGUAAUGGCUUACCAAGAAUAUGACACAUAACUGGUUUGAGAGGAUGAUCAGUCACACUAGAACUGAGACACGGUCCAGACUCCUACGGGAGGCAGCAGUGGGGAAUAUUGCACAAUGGACGAAAGUCUGAUGCAGCAACGCCGCGUGGAGGAUGACACAUUUCGGUGCGUAAACUCCUUUUAUAUAAGAAGAUAAUGACGGUAUUAUAUGAAUAAGCACCGACUAACUCCGUGCCAGCCGCCGCCGUAA
RNAcentral lists this ribosomal RNA (484 nucleotides) under uncultured bacterium. RNAcentral's name for it is "partial 16S ribosomal RNA". It matches the Rfam family "Bacterial small subunit ribosomal RNA", at positions 29 to 523 of the family's 1533-position model. The record is from RNAcentral.